RNAcentral lists this ribosomal RNA (253 nucleotides) under uncultured bacterium. Its description in RNAcentral is "partial 16S ribosomal RNA". It matches the Rfam family "Bacterial small subunit ribosomal RNA", at positions 524 to 776 of the family's 1533-position model. The record is from RNAcentral.
UACGUAGGUGACAAGCGUUGUCCGGAUUUACUGGGCGUAAAGCGCACGUAGGCGGCUCUUUAAGUCGGGGGUGAAAUCCUGGAGCUCAACUCCAGAACUGCCUUCGAUACUGUAGAGCUUGAGUUCGGGAGAGGUGAGUGGAACUGCGAGUGUAGAGGUGAAAUUCGUAGAUAUUCGCAAGAACACCAGUGGCGAAGGCGGCUCACUGGCCCGAUACUGACGCUGAGGUGCGAAAGCGUGGGGAGCAAACAGG